GUUUCUUAUUUAGAAAAUUAGGCAGACUAGAUGGGCCAAAUGGUUCUUAUCUGCCGUCACUUUCUAUGUUUCUAUUAAACCUGAUUGCCCAUACUUUUAGAUUUACAUGGCUGUAAGCUGUUUGCAAGAUGUUUUUUGAAAUUCUAAUGUGGAACUAAUAUAAUAAGGGCACUCUAAGUAGCAUAACCACUACACUUUAUUGUAGUGGAAAGUAGCAACAGGUUUGUGUGUGCUGUCCCCAGUUUAUAACGAAACAGUUUUUGAGUUCAUAGACAAAACCUGGCUUCUUGUUACACCCAAAGCUCAGAAUAUGCUAAGUGUUCACCUGCAUAACUCCCAUGAUCCAUCCAAAGUUGUCCAACCAGUUCCAACCAGGCUUCCUAAAAGGUAGAUCCCAGACGUUGUAGAACUAUAACUCCAAUGAUCCUUCAUAUGCCUUUAGAAUGGCAUUAUGGAAACUGUAGGUUUAAAACAUCUGGGAAUCUACGCUUUGGGCACCCCUGAGUUACAAUAACAGACUUGUACUGAUCCUUUAAUGCGGCUUUAAAAAGGAUUUAAUUUUACCACAUGGCUCUGUUAUGAGAGAGUCAGCCACAUAAAGGUUUCUAGGCUUAUUCUUGUGCUGUUAAGGUUUUUCCAUUCAGUUUCAUGCUAUAUUUUAUUUUAUUAUAGAUGAUUGAAAAUAUUUUCAAACGUACUUAUUCAUGCCUUUGAGGGCGACUAUAGGAG
Molecule: non-coding RNA, 729 nt
Organism: Pelobates cultripes (western spadefoot toad)
Lineage: Eukaryota; Metazoa; Chordata; Amphibia; Anura; Pelobatidae
Source: the annotation of a GenBank genome assembly